UUGGUCAAUGGCCUAACGGUGGAACCCAGCCACUUGGGGGACGAAUAGCUUCGGCUAGUUAUACUGGUAAUAUAUUUUGUUAUAUAUAAUAUAAAAAUUAUUAAUAAUAAGUUAUGUUUUUUUUAGUAGACUAAUAAAAAAAAGUUACCUGUUUGGUUACUUUUUUUGUUGUCACUAUACACUAUGUUGAAGAAAGAUAUAGUGAUUAAGUUUAUCACUCAUGAGAUUCUCGUGCGUGGACAGUAUAAUAUCGAUUUAUUUGAGUAAAAUUCUAGGUAGUAGUUUAAUGAUUAUGACAGUCUACUAUUUAUAUGUCUUGACCAAAUUACGUGCCAGCAGUCGCGGUAAUACGUAAAAGACUAGUGUUAUUCAUCUUUAAUAGGUUUAAAGGGUACCUAGACGGUAUAUUUAGUCUAAAAUAAGAUACUUUUAUACUAGAGUUAGAUAUAAGGAGGGGCGUAUUUGUGGAGUAGAGUUGAAAUUCAUUGAUACCACAAGGUACUGGUAAAGGCGAAGGCAACCUUUUAUGUAAUAACUGACGUUGAGGGACGAAGGCUUUGGUAACGAACAGGAUUAGAUACCCUAGUAGUCUUUGCAGAGAAUGAUGAAUGCCAUGGAUUAGAUUAUUAUUUAGUUCAUAAAUUAAAGUGUAAGCAUUUCACCUCAAGAGUAAUUUGGCAACAUUGAAACUGAAAUCAUUAGACCGUUUCUGAAACCAGUAGUGAAGUAUGUUGUUUAAUUCGUAAGUACGCGAAAAACCUUACCACAACUUGAAUAUUAUCUUAAUUGAUAUUACAAGCGUUGCACGGCUGUCUUAAGUUAAUGUCGUGAGAUAUUGGUUAAUUCCAUGCAAUUAACGGAAACCCUAGCUUUAUUUUAAUAAAUAAAAAAAAAUAUUUAUUUUAAUAAAUAAAAAAAAAUAAAUAAAAAAAAAAUAAAUAAAGCUGUUCACCUCUAUAUUGGAUAUGAUAACAGGGACCAAGUCAAGUCAUCAUGGCCUAUGGUGGGCUA
This 1011-nucleotide ribosomal RNA is filed under the name Bryoclaviculus campylopi. Its description in RNAcentral is "partial small subunit ribosomal RNA". The stretch from base 194 to 1011 matches the Rfam family "Bacterial small subunit ribosomal RNA", at positions 1 to 1216 of the family's 1533-position model. The record is from RNAcentral. Lineage: Eukaryota; Fungi; Ascomycota; Leotiomycetes; Helotiales; Bryoglossaceae.